GAUGAACGCUGGCGGCGUGCUUAACACAUGCAAGUCGAACGAAGCACUUUAUUUGAUUUCCUUCGGGACUGAUUAUUUUGUGACUGAGUGGCGGACGGGUGAGUAACGCGUGGGUAACCUGCCUUGUACAGGGGGAUAACAGUUGGAAACGGCUGCUAAUACCGCAUAAGCGCACAGCAUCGCAUGAUGCAGUGUGAAAAACUCCGGUGGUAUAAGAUGGACCCGCGUUGGAUUAGCUAGUUGGUGAGGUAACGGCCCACCAAGGCGACGAUCCAUAGCCGACCUGAGAGGGUGACCGGCCACAUUGGGACUGAGACACGACCCAAACUCCUACGGGAGGCAGCAGUGGGGAAAAUUGCACAAUGGGCGAAAGCCUGAUGCAGCGACGCCGCGGGAGCGAAGAAGUAUUUCGGUAGGUAAAGCUCUAUCAGCAGGGAAGAUAAGGACGGGACCGGACUAAGAAGCACGGGCUAAAUACGU
Molecule: ribosomal RNA, 480 nt
Filed under: uncultured bacterium
Lineage: Bacteria
Description: partial 16S ribosomal RNA
Rfam family: Bacterial small subunit ribosomal RNA
Source: RNAcentral